RNAcentral lists this ribosomal RNA (2797 nucleotides) under Escherichia coli. RNAcentral describes it as "23S ribosomal RNA". It matches the Rfam family "Bacterial large subunit ribosomal RNA". Lineage: Bacteria; Pseudomonadati; Pseudomonadota; Gammaproteobacteria; Enterobacterales; Enterobacteriaceae. The record is from RNAcentral.
GGUUAAGCGACUAAGCGUACACGGUGGAUGCCCUGGCAGUCAGAGGCGAUGAAGGACGUGCUAAUCUGCGAUAAGCGUCGGUAAGGUGAUAUGAACCGUUAUAACCGGCGAUUUCCGAAUGGGGAAACCCAGUGUGAUUCGUCACACUAUCAUUAACUGAAUCCAUAGGUUAAUGAGGCGAACCGGGGGAACUGAAACAUCUAAGUACCCCGAGGAAAAGAAAUCAACCGAGAUUCCCCCAGUAGCGGCGAGCGAACGGGGAGGAGCCCAGAGCCUGAAUCAGUGUGUGUGUUAGUGGAAGCGUCUGGAAAGGCGCGCGAUACAGGGUGACAGCCCCGUACACAAAAAUGCACAUGCUGUGAGCUCGAUGAGUAGGGCGGGACACGUGGUAUCCUGUCUGAAUAUGGGGGGACCAUCCUCCAAGGCUAAAUACUCCUGACUGACCGAUAGUGAACCAGUACCGUGAGGGAAAGGCGAAAAGAACCCCGGCGAGGGGAGUGAAAAAGAACCUGAAACCGUGUACGUACAAGCAGUGGGAGCGGGCGUUAAGUUGCAGGGUAUAGACCCGAAACCCGGUGAUCUAGCCAUGGGCAGGUUGAAGGUUGGGUAACACUAACUGGAGGACCGAACCGACUAAUGUUGAAAAAUUAGCGGAUGACUUGUGGCUGGGGGUGAAAGGCCAAUCAAACCGGGAGAUAGCUGGUUCUCCCCGAAAGCUAUUUAGGUAGCGCCUCGUGAAUUCAUCUCCGGGGGUAGAGCACUGUUUCGGCAAGGGGGUCAUCCCGACUUACCAACCCGAUGCAAACUGCGAAUACCGGAGAAUGUUAUCACGGGAGACACACGGCGGGUGCUAACGUCCGUCGUGAAGAGGGAAACAACCCAGACCGCCAGCUAAGGUCCCAAAGUCAUGGUUAAGUGGGAAACGAUGUGGGAAGGCCCAGACAGCCAGGAUGUUGGCUUAGAAGCAGCCAUCAUUUAAAGAAAGCGUAAUAGCUCACUGGUCGAGUCGGCCUGCGCGGAAGAUGUAACGGGGCUAAACCAUGCACCGAAGCUGCGGCAGCGACACUGUGUGUUGUUGGGUAGGGGAGCGUUCUGUAAGCCUGUGAAGGUGUACUGUGAGGUAUGCUGGAGGUAUCAGAAGUGCGAAUGCUGACAUAAGUAACGAUAAAGCGGGUGAAAAGCCCGCUCGCCGGAAGACCAAGGGUUCCUGUCCAACGUUAAUCGGGGCAGGGUGAGUCGACCCCUAAGGCGAGGCCGAAAGGCGUAGUCGAUGGGAAACAGGUUAAUAUUCCUGUACUUGGUGUUACUGCGAAGGGGGGACGGAGAAGGCUAUGUUGGCCGGGCGACGGUUGUCCCGGUUUAAGCGUGUAGGCUGGUUUUCCAGGCAAAUCCGGAAAAUCAAGGCUGAGGCGUGAUGACGAGGCACUACGGUGCUGAAGCAACAAAUGCCCUGCUUCCAGGAAAAGCCUCUAAGCAUCAGGUAACAUCAAAUCGUACCCCAAACCGACACAGGUGGUCAGGUAGAGAAUACCAAGGCGCUUGAGAGAACUCGGGUGAAGGAACUAGGCAAAAUGGUGCCGUAACUUCGGGAGAAGGCACGCUGAUAUGUAGGUGAAGUCCCUCGCGGAUGGAGCUGAAAUCAGUCGAAGAUACCAGCUGGCUGCAACUGUUUAUUAAAAACACAGCACUGUGCAAACACGAAAGUGGACGUAUACGGUGUGACGCCUGCCCGGUGCCGGAAGGUUAAUUGAUGGGGUCAGCGCAAGCGAAGCUCUUGAUCGAAGCCCCGGUAAACGGCGGCCGUAACUAUAACGGUCCUAAGGUAGCGAAAUUCCUUGUCGGGUAAGUUCCGACCUGCACGAAUGGCGUAAUGAUGGCCAGGCUGUCUCCACCCGAGACUCAGUGAAAUUGAACUCGCUGUGAAGAUGCAGUGUACCCGCGGCAAGACGGAAAGACCCCGUGAACCUUUACUAUAGCUUGACACUGAACAUUGAGCCUUGAUGUGUAGGAUAGGUGGGAGGCUUUGAAGUGUGGACGCCAGUCUGCAUGGAGCCGACCUUGAAAUACCACCCUUUAAUGUUUGAUGUUCUAACGUGGACCCGUGAUCCGGGUUGCGGACAGUGUCUGGUGGGUAGUUUGACUGGGGCGGUCUCCUCCUAAAGAGUAACGGAGGAGCACGAAGGUUGGCUAAUCCUGGUCGGACAUCAGGAGGUUAGUGCAAUGGCAUAAGCCAGCUUGACUGCGAGCGUGACGGCGCGAGCAGGUGCGAAAGCAGGUCAUAGUGAUCCGGUGGUUCUGAAUGGAAGGGCCAUCGCUCAACGGAUAAAAGGUACUCCGGGGAUAACAGGCUGAUACCGCCCAAGAGUUCAUAUCGACGGCGGUGUUUGGCACCUCGAUGUCGGCUCAUCACAUCCUGGGGCUGAAGUAGGUCCCAAGGGUAUGGCUGUUCGCCAUUUAAAGUGGUACGCGAGCUGGGUUUAGAACGUCGUGAGACAGUUCGGUCCCUAUCUGCCGUGGGCGCUGGAGAACUGAGGGGGGCUGCUCCUAGUACGAGAGGACCGGAGUGGACGCAUCACUGGUGUUCGGGUUGUCAUGCCAAUGGCACUGCCCGGUAGCUAAAUGCGGAAGAGAUAAGUGCUGAAAGCAUCUAAGCACGAAACUUGCCCCGAGAUGAGUUCUCCCUGACCCUUUAAGGGUCCUGAAGGAACGUUGAAGACGACGACGUUGAUAGGCCGGGUGUGUAAGCGCAGCGAUGCGUUGAGCUAACCGGUACUAAUGAACCGUGAGGCUUAACCUU